ACGGGUGAGUAAUGUCUGGGGAUCUGCCCGAUAGAGGGGGAUAACCACUGGAAACGGUGGCUAAUACCGCAUAACGUCGCAAGACCAAAGAGGGGGACCUUCGGGCCUCUCACUAUCGGAUGAACCCAGAUGGGAUUAGCUAGUAGGCGGGGUAACGGCCCACCUAGGCGACGAUCCCUAGCUGGUCUGAGAGGAUGACCAGCCACACUGGAACUGAGACACGGUCCAGACUCCUACGGGAGGCAGCAGUGGGGAAUAUUGCACAAUGGGCGCAAGCCUGAUGCAGCCAUGCCGCGUGUAUGAAGAAGGCCUUCGGGUUGUAGAGUACUUUCAGCGGGGAGGAAGGCGAUGUGGUUAAUAACCGCAUUGAUUGACGUUACCCGCAGAAGAAGCACCGGCUAACUCCGUGCCAGCAGCCGCGGUAAUACGGAGGGUGCAAGCGUUAAUCGGAAUUACUGGGCGUAAAGCGCACGCAGGCGGUCUGUUAAGUCAGAUGUGAAAUCCCCGGGCUUAACCUGGGAACUGCAUUUGAAACUGGCAGGCUUGAGUCUCGUAGAGGGGGGUAGAAUUCCAGGUGUAGCG
Molecule: ribosomal RNA, 582 nt
Filed under: uncultured bacterium
Lineage: Bacteria
Description: bacterial SSU rRNA
Rfam family: Bacterial small subunit ribosomal RNA
Source: RNAcentral